RNAcentral lists this ribosomal RNA (409 nucleotides) under uncultured Synechococcus sp. RNAcentral's name for it is "bacterial SSU rRNA". It matches the Rfam family "Bacterial small subunit ribosomal RNA", at positions 381 to 805 of the family's 1533-position model. Lineage: Bacteria; Bacillati; Cyanobacteriota; Cyanophyceae; Synechococcales; Synechococcaceae. The record is from RNAcentral.
GCCUGACGGAGCAGCGCCGCGUGAGGGAUGAAGGCCUCUGGGCUGUAAACCUCUUUUAUCAAGGAAGAAGAUCUGACGGUACUUGAUGAAUAAGCCACGGCUAAUUCCGUGCCAGCAGCCGCGGUAAUACGGGAGUGGCAAGCGUUAUCCGGAAUUAUUGGGCGUAAAGCGUCCGCAGGCGGCCCUUCAAGUCUGCUGUUAAAAAGUGGAGCUUAACUCCAUCAUGGCAGUGGAAACUGUUGGGCUUGAGUGUGGUAGGGGCAGAGGGAAUUCCCGGUGUAGCGGUGAAAUGCGUAGAUAUCGGGAAGAACACCAGUGGCGAAGGCGCUCUGCUGGGCCAUCACUGACGCUCAUGGACGAAAGCCAGGGGAGCGAAAGGGAUUAGAUACCCCUGUAGUCCUGGCCGUAA